Molecule: ribosomal RNA, 1212 nt
Filed under: metagenome
Description: bacterial SSU rRNA
Rfam family: Bacterial small subunit ribosomal RNA
Source: RNAcentral
CCUUCGGUUUCUGUACGGAGCGGCGAAAGGGUGAGUAAUGCGUAGGCAAUCUACCCGAGAGCCCGGGAUAACUACUGGAAACGGUGGCUAAUACCGGAUGGCCCUGGUUGGUGGCAUCACCGACCUGGUAAAGGGGGGGAUCUUCGGACCUCUCUCUCUCGGAGGAGCCUACGUCCUAUCAGCUAGUUGGUGGGGUAACGGCCCACCAAGGCGAUGACGGGUAGCCGGGCUGAGAGGUUGGCCGGCCACACUGGGACUGAGACACUGCCCAGACUCCUACGGGAGGCUGCAGUCGAGAAUCAUCCGCAAUGGGCGAAAGCCUGACGGUGCAACGCCGCGUGGAGGACGAAGGCCUUCGGGUUGUAAACUCCUGUCACGUGAUGAGAAAUGCAGGAUGCUAACAUCAUCCUGUCUGACAACUCAUGAGAGGAAGUCACGGCUAACUCUGUGCCAGCAGCCGCGGUAAUACAGAGGUGGCAAGCGUUGUUCGGAAUCACUGGGCAUAAAGGGCGCGUAGGCGGUCGAUUUAGUCGGUUGUGAAAGCCCUCGGCUCAACCGAGGAACUGCAUCCGAUACUGGUCGGCUAGAGUGUGGAAGGGGAGAGUGGAACUCCUGGUGGAGCGGUGAAAAGCGUAGAUAUCAGGAGGAACGCCGGUGGCGAAAGCGACUCUCUGGUCCAUAACUGACGCUGAGGCGCGAAAGCCAGGGGAGCAAACGGGAUUAGAUACCCCGGUAGUCCUGGCCCUAAACGAUGGGCACUAGGUAGUGGGGGGUCCGAUCUUCUCACUGCCGGAGCAAAUGUGUUAAGUGCCCCGCCUGGGGAGUACAGUCGCAAGGCCGAAACUCAAAGGAAUUGACGGGGGCUCACACAAGCGGUGGAGGAUGUUGCUUAAUUCGAAGCAACGCGAAGAACCUUACCUGGGCUUGACAUGGAUGUGGUACGGACCCGAAAGGGCGAGGACCCGGUUUUCCGGGAGCAUUCACAGGUGUUGCAUGGCUGUCGUCAGCUCGUGUCGUGAGAUGUUGGGUUAAGUCCCGUAACGAGCGAAACCCUUAUCGUUAGUUGCCAGCGGGUAAUGCCGGGGACUCUAGCGAGACUGCCGGUGUCAAACCGGAGGAAGGUGGGGACGACGUCAAGUCAUCAUGGCCCUUACGCCCAGGGCUGCAAACGUCCUACAAUGGUCGGUACAAAGGGAUGCAAUACCGCAAGGU